CCGCAUUGCUGCCAGCUCCUCCGUAAGCUUGAAGUCGCUCGUCGUCCACCGGGGAGACAUGAGCAGCUGGGCCGCGUGACGGACGUCACAGCGCUCAUCCAAAGCUUCACGCUUCACCUUGCAGCCGAAACUCCAGAUUCUCCGCGAUGUCCUCCACCCUCCUCGUGCCCCUCAAGACCCCUGAAACAACACGAGAAAAACUACAUGUGGAUGAAAAACCUGAAUGACCCGUUUUGUGGCGUUCAGAGUCUCUGGGUCAUGACGUAGGCGUGCACUCUGCAGGUGGAGCGUGUUACCGUGAAGGGGCUCCUUCCUUCUGGGUGGUGCAGCACACGUGCUGACAGCCUCAUGUACCCGGGUUACACCGUCUGACGUGUUGGUACCGACCGUCUUCCUGCUUCUCAUGAGAUCACAAACAGGAAUCUUCUCUUUGCUCGGAUGCUUCAAAGUAUUUAUUGUGUGUUUUUCUUUGUCAUCGGUCGUCUUUCUGUUCGUUCUCGACUUUUAAAAAGUGAUCAAAUGUUUUGUUGUGUCAUUUUAAAGACGACGACCCUCUUUAGGAAAAU
Non-coding RNA from Gasterosteus aculeatus aculeatus (three-spined stickleback), 566 nucleotides. Lineage: Eukaryota; Metazoa; Chordata; Actinopteri; Perciformes; Gasterosteidae. The record is from RefSeq and is a predicted model, not a curated record.